CCGAGCAGCCGGGGAGGUAGCGGUUCCCUGUACUGACAAUCCGCUAUAGUCAGGGUGAUGCUCUGCCGAGGGGCGAAGUGAUAGAGCUGCCCUUUGUAAGUGGCGUUGAGAUCUGGGUCUUGCGCAAUAGGAACCUACGAACCGUGUCAGGUCGGGAACGAAGCAGCACUAAGUAGGAGCUCUUAUGUGCCGUGAGGUCACCUGGGUUGAGUUAACUGCAGAGGUAACGUCUGUCCCAUUGUUUCGACGCAGAGCGCUCGG
RNAcentral lists this signal recognition particle RNA (261 nucleotides) under Lachnospiraceae bacterium A10. RNAcentral's name for it is "Bacterial large signal recognition particle RNA". It matches the Rfam family "Bacterial large signal recognition particle RNA". From Rfam's summary of the family: The signal recognition particle (SRP) is a universally conserved ribonucleoprotein involved in the co-translational targeting of proteins to membranes. Archaeal SRP consists of a 7S RNA and homologues of the eukaryotic SRP19 and SRP54 proteins. In most bacteria, the SRP consists of a 4.5S RNA and the Ffh protein (a homologue of the eukaryotic SRP54 protein). Lineage: Bacteria; Bacillati; Bacillota; Clostridia; Lachnospirales; Lachnospiraceae. RNAcentral also lists the same sequence under 1 other name. The record is from Rfam by way of RNAcentral.